UGGGGAAUAUUGCACAAUGGGCGCAAGCCUGAUGCAGCCAUGCCGCGUGUAUGAAGAAGGCCUUCGGGUUGUAAAGUACUUUCAGCGGGGAGGAAGGGAGUAAAGUUAAUACCUUUGCUCAUUGACGUUACCCGCAGAAGAAGAACCGGCUAACUCCGUGCCAGCAGCCGCGGUAAUACGGAGGGUGCAAGCGUUAAUCGGAAUUACUGGGCGUAAAGCGCACGCAGGCGGUUUGUUAAGUCAGAUGUGAAAUCCCCGGGCUCAACCUGGGAACUGCAUCUGAUACUGGCAAGCUUGAGUCUCGUAGAGGGGGGUAGAAUUCCAGGUGUAGCGGUGAAAUGCGUAGAGAUCUGGAGGAAUACCGGUGGCGAAGGCGGCCCCCUGGACGAAGACUGACGCUCAGGUGCGAAAGCGUGGGGAGCAAACAGG
This 429-nucleotide ribosomal RNA is filed under the name Chloroflexota bacterium. RNAcentral describes it as "Chloroflexi bacterium partial 16S ribosomal RNA". It matches the Rfam family "Bacterial small subunit ribosomal RNA", at positions 355 to 776 of the family's 1533-position model. The record is from RNAcentral. RNAcentral also lists the same sequence under 1 other name. Lineage: Bacteria; Bacillati; Chloroflexota.